AACGAACGCUGGCGGCAGGCUUAACACAUGCAAGUCGAGCGCCUCGCAAGAGGAGCGGCAGACGGGUGAGUAACGCGUGGGAACGUACCCUUAUCUUCGGAAUAGCUCUGGGAAACUGGAAGUAAUACCGAAUGUGCCCUUAGGGGGAAAGAUUUAUCGGAUAAGGAUCGGCCCGCGUUGGAUUAGCUAGUUGGUGGGGUAAAGGCCUACCAAGGCGACGAUCCAUAGCUGGUCUGAGAGGAUGAUCAGCCACAUUGGGACUGAGACACGGCCCAAACUCCUACGGGAGGCAGCAGUGGGGAAUAUUGGACAAUGGGCGCAAGCCUGAUCCAGCCAUGCCGCGUGAGUGAUGAAGGCCUUAGGGUUGUAAAGCUCUUUCACCGGAGAAGAUAAUGACGGUAUCCGGAGAAGAAGCUCCGGCUAACUUCGUG
This 431-nucleotide ribosomal RNA is filed under the name uncultured bacterium. Its description in RNAcentral is "partial 16S ribosomal RNA". It matches the Rfam family "Bacterial small subunit ribosomal RNA", at positions 29 to 507 of the family's 1533-position model. The record is from RNAcentral.